UACGAAGGGGGCGAGCGUUGUUCGGAUUUACUGGGCGUAAAGGGCGCGCAGGCGGCUUUGUUUGUCAGGCGUGAAAGCCCCGGGCUUAACCUGGGAACUGCGUUUGAUACGGCAGGGCUAGAGUUCGGGGAGAGGAGAGUGGAAUUCCCAGUGUAGAGGUGAAAUUCGUAGAUAUUGGGAAGAACACCGGUGGCGAAGGCGGCUCUCUGGACCGAGACUGACGCUGAGGCGCGAAAGCGUGGGGAGCAAACAGG
RNAcentral lists this ribosomal RNA (254 nucleotides) under uncultured bacterium. RNAcentral describes it as "partial 16S ribosomal RNA". It matches the Rfam family "Bacterial small subunit ribosomal RNA", at positions 524 to 776 of the family's 1533-position model. The record is from RNAcentral.